CACUCCUGCGGGAGGCAGCAGUGGGGAAUAUUGGACCAUGGGCGCAAGCCUGAUCCAGCCAUGCCGCGUGAGUGAUGAAGGCCCUAGGGUUGUAAAGCUCUUUCACCGGUGAAGAUAAUGACGGUAACCGGAGAAGAAGCCCCGGCUAACUUCGUGCCAGCAGCCGCGGUAAUACGAAGGGGGCUAGCGUUGUUCGGAUUUACUGGGCGUAAAGCGCACGUAGGCGGACUAUUAAGUCAGGGGUGAAAUCCCGGGGCUCAACCCCGGAACUGCCUUUGAUACUGGUAGUCUUGAGUUCGAGAGAGGUGAGUGGAAUUCCGAGUGUAGAGGUGAAAUUCGUAGAUAUUCGGAGGAACACCAGUGGCGAAGGCGGCUCACUGGCUCGAUACUGACGCUGAGGUGCGAAAGCGUGGGGAGCAAACAGGAUUAGAAACCCCUGUAGUCCCAUG
This 449-nucleotide ribosomal RNA is filed under the name uncultured organism. RNAcentral describes it as "partial 16S ribosomal RNA". It matches the Rfam family "Bacterial small subunit ribosomal RNA", at positions 334 to 799 of the family's 1533-position model. The record is from RNAcentral.